RNAcentral lists this ribosomal RNA (508 nucleotides) under uncultured bacterium. RNAcentral describes it as "partial 16S ribosomal RNA". It matches the Rfam family "Bacterial small subunit ribosomal RNA", at positions 28 to 507 of the family's 1533-position model. The record is from RNAcentral.
GACGAACGCUGGCGGCGUGCCUAAUACAUGCAAGUCGAACGCUUCUUUCCUCCCGAGUGCUUGCACUCAAUUGGAAAGAGGAGUGGCGGACGGGUGAGUAACACGUGGGUAACCUACCCAUCAGAGGGGGAUAACACUUGGAAACAGGUGCUAAUACCGCAUAACAGUUUAUGCCGCAUGGCAUAAGAGUGAAAGGCGCUUUCGGGUGUCGCUGAUGGAUGGACCCGCGGUGCAUUAGCUAGUUGGUGAGGUAACGGCUCACCAAGGCCACGAUGCAUAGCCGACCUGAGAGGGUGAUCGGCCACACGGGGACUGAGACACGGCCCAGACUCCUACGGGAGGCAGCAGUAGGGAAUCUUCGGCAAUGGACGAAAGUAUGACAGAGCAACGCCGCGUGAGUGAAGAAGGUUUUCGGAUCGUAAAACUCUGUUGUUAGAGAAGAACAAGGACGUUAGUAACUGAACGUCCAAUGACGGUAUCUAACCAGAAAGCCACGGCUAACUACGUG